AUACGGAGGAUGCGAGCGUUAUCCGGAUUUAUUGGGUUUAAAGGGUGCGUAGGCGGAAGCUUAAGCGUGAGGUGAAAUGCCCGGGCUCAACCUGGGAACUGCCUCGCGAACUGGGUUUCUUGAAUGCUCCUGCCGUGGGAGGAAUGUGUGGUGUAGCGGUGAAAUGCAUAGAGAUCACACAGAACACCGAUUGCGAAAGCUGCACACGAAGGGGUGAAUGACGCUGAGGCACGAAAGCGUUGGGGUCAAACAGGAUUAGAUGCCGUGGUAGUCCACGGAGUAAACGAUGAUAACUCACCGCUGAACACUGCCGACCAGUGGCCUAGCGAAAGCAAUAAGUAAUCCACCUGGGGAGUACGACCGCAAGGUUGAAGCUGAAAGGAAUUGACGCUG
This 393-nucleotide ribosomal RNA is filed under the name uncultured bacterium. RNAcentral describes it as "partial 16S ribosomal RNA". It matches the Rfam family "Bacterial small subunit ribosomal RNA", at positions 523 to 918 of the family's 1533-position model. The record is from RNAcentral.